AGUCCGCACGCCGGCCGGCAGCUCAGCGAGAGCUGGGCGGAGCCUGACGCGCCCACAACAUGGGCGGGGCCAGGGACAGAGAAUGGACUCAGUUUCCCAGAGAAGAUCCCAGCCUGGGAAGUCAAGGGCAGACCUGGCAAGGGAAGAUAGCUCAUCGUGGUAGAAAUUUCCGGAUCAUUUGUCCACUUGCCUUUGGGAGGACGUCUUGAUGGCUGCCAGGCUUUGCUGGUCAGAUGCUGAAGAAGCACUGUUGGGGGCCUCUGGUCUCGGAAGUUUUGUCAGCCUGACUUCUUGAGAUACCAGCAGAAGAACUAUGUCUAAGUCAGCGUUUCUCCCAGAAAUGCUGUGUCCUCUGGUUCCAGGCCCAGCGCUUUCCUCUGAGCGUCUGUCUGCACCCUUCAUUCCUGCCCCUCUGCCCACAUGCCGCUCCUUCCUGUUUAGGUUGGAUAGCAGGCUGCCUCUGGCCAUCAGAACCGUUGCUGACCUUGGCUGUCCUCACCUGCUGGGCAGACACAAAGUGAGGCCAACAUCUGGACCCAGAGGAGAAAUUCAAGUCCAUUUGUGGAAACACUCAUGAGGCCGGAAGGCCUCUCUGUCCAAGGCCAAAACACCACACCAUUGUUUUCCAGUUCCAAACAGGAAGGCAACCUGAGUGUGCUUGGGCAAAGUCCUGAGGGAAAGGACGGGAACCCGAGGUGGAUGUAAGGGGUCAAGUGAUCUCACAUUAAAAAGGGGGCCACAGUCUCUUCUAAUAAACAGUGUAUAUAACGUUCUGUAUCCU
Arvicanthis niloticus (Nile rat) is the source of this 781-nucleotide non-coding RNA. Lineage: Eukaryota; Metazoa; Chordata; Mammalia; Rodentia; Muridae. The record is from RefSeq and is a predicted model, not a curated record.